This is a long non-coding RNA of Macadamia integrifolia, 1505 nucleotides long. RefSeq lists it as uncharacterized. The transcript has 3 exons. The record is from RefSeq and is a predicted model, not a curated record. Lineage: Eukaryota; Viridiplantae; Streptophyta; Magnoliopsida; Proteales; Proteaceae.
AACCCUCCACCGCCUUGGUUCGCCUUGGCGCCGUGACAACUAUGGUCCUCUCCUCUUUAAUAAUUGCAAUUCCCUACAUCAGACUCAAGCUAGGAUGUGGGUCUGAAAGGUGAAACUCGUUUCAGUUGUCUAGACCAGAAUCUCUGGCUGUGAGCUGAAGUAAACCAAAACAAAGUCGAUUAGACAUGACAGAAGGAUGAAAUUACCAAUCAUGGUAAAUAGUUUCACGAAAUGUGUCAGUUUUGUAGGCUAUCGAAAUGAAAUGGCUUCUGAUACUCAAAAUUGUCAAUACUUCGACCAAAAUUUCGGCAAACACUGAAAUUUUGGUCUUAUGUACAGUUUCGCCAUGUGGUGAUCUGCAUAAACAACAUUUUGUUUAGUUGUCUUUGACCACGAUAGAGGGAGUGUCCCUAUUGUGGUGUGUAUUAAGUUGUGGAGUUUGUUUUUAUGGUUUAGGGAAAAGGAUGAGCAUGCUAGCGAGUUACCUAGGAAUAAGAUAUGCUAGCGCUUGUUGACCGUUAGAUGGAACAUUAGCAAUCUCAUCCAUUAAUACUUAUUAUCUAACAUAACCUGCCCACCAUUGGCACUCUACAAUCUCUUUUCUUCUUCUCCGCAUCUGUCUCCAUCUAUGUCUCCGUCUCCGGCUCCUACUCCCUCCCUUUGUCAUCCUCUUCACAGAAUCACUGCAACCCACCUCUGCGUCUCCUUCUCCCUCUCCUACUCCCACCCCUUAUCCAUCAUUCACCCCAACCCUCUUCCCUCCACUGCGAACAGGUUAUAUAGUAUAGCAAAAAAUUGAUCAAAAGUCGGAACCACACGGUUAAAGAAAGGAACAAAAGAGAAAAACCAUUUCUGAACCCACUUUCAUUGAUACUUAACGCACAGCCACACGACUGGAGAAACAAAUUUUACAUGGUUUCAUAAGAUAUAUCAGCUAUUGUAGUGUACUCCUAAUAUUACUCCAAGUGAUUGUUAUUCAUGCCUGAGAAAUUCUAUUAAUCAAAUGGCCAUUGUGUUCAAAGAGAGUUCAGGUUUGGGUGCUUAUUUUCUCAAUUCUUUUGCAAGGUAUGGUGAUCAUGCUUUCUAUAAACUGAAUUCCGCUGCGUCAGCGCUUCCCUCAAUCAAUUUUUAUACUGCCUGGGAUGUAAUUGCAAAGCAUGUACUGGACUACACUGUAGAUCCAGUUCUUGCACUUAGCAACCGACACUGACUGCUGAAGGAGAAAAGAAUUGCGGGGACUGAGGUGGAAAAGUUGCUUGGUAUCUUCUCCUCAAGUUAUUGUCCACUCAGGUAUCAGGAAGUUUUGGAAUUUUUAUGAUCUUUAGAGAUGAAAAGAUGCCAGUGAUUCUCAAUUCUAAUUAAUUAGGUAGAAAAAAGGGUGUUUUCCUGCAUUACCCUGGAGGUUGGUGUGUCAUUUGGCACCAGAUGUUGUCAUUUAUUACUUUAUUGUAUUGGUGCCUUUUUAACAGCUUUCUUUUCAGUGAUAUAGGCUUCCUUCAUCUUCU